AUUUACCUCUUUAUCAUUCUUCUCCGCAUUGGCAACAUCCUUCGUCAAUUAGCAGUAUCUUCUUAACGGUCAACAUAUUACAGUAUAUAAGUCACGCGAUCCGAGAUCCCAGGAGCGUUCCUACCCGUGGCUUAAAGUUGACAAAACGCGGAACGCCGGGAGGACGAAGAAAAGUGCACGCCGCGACGCCGCAGCCGACGAGGAAUCUGGACUCCGAGCGGUGCCGCAGCUCUAGGAGAAUCCCGGUGCAUCGCGGGCACAAAAUCUCGGGACGUCCGACACAAUAACUUCCAGCGGCGACGACCGGGUCGAGGGAGGCCGUACCGAACGGGGUGAAAGAGGAACGGCCGGAGGAGGAGGAGGAGGAGGUGGUGGCGGUGUAGGAGACGGCGGAGGCGUGGAGGCGGAGGAGGAGGAAGAGGAAGAGGAUACAUGCCGUGACACAAUUUCCGGCGUGUACGUGUGCUGUUCGCCGGCCGCAGAUUCUGCAGUUUAUUACAAAUCGAAGAAACGGGGAGGACCGACCGGCGAGGGCGGUCGAGGAGCUACCCUGAGAUAGCGGUAAUUAAAAGGAACGGUGGAACGGGCGAGGGGGAUCGGUGAACGGCGAGGGAGGCGGCCGAGGAGGCGGAGGAUGGGCGAGAGCGCAUGACGCAAAGGCGCGGGUCAGCUAACGUUAAGAAUAUUCAUGAAAAAAACAGUGGAAAGCUUGCGCCCUAAAGGAUCCCCUUUCUCAUUCAAAACAGCGCGAAAGAAACACGAGGGCUGCCGUCGCUCUUGGAUGCAAAUAAACGCUGUCCCUCUACCGAACGCGCUCUCCGGUGACUGAAAAACUUUCCGACACGCGCGCGAGCCACGACUAAUUAACGAUUAGACGGGAGAGCACGGCAAAGGGGGACCCUCUUUCGCGGAGAAACCGAGCUCGCCUCGCGGGAACCGAUCCGCGGACUUUUCCGUGAAUUCUUCGAUCCGCGAUUCUAUCGAUCGAAGUCGAUCGUUUCGGUACAGUGACUCUCGGGCCGCCGUUUCGUCGGGGACAAAGCGGUCCGCGAACGAUCCAGGCCAGUGGGAGAACCGGUGAAUCACCGGGACACGCUUCUCGCUGCUUUCGUUUUCGGCAAAAAGAUCGUUCGAGGGGAGAGGGGUCGGGUGAAAGGGAACUCACCGCGGUAAAUCAUAAUCGCGUCGACCUAGCGCAUAGCUAAUAGGAAACAGAGCUGAAAUUUUUCGGGAAAAGGAGCGGCGAGAAGUGGCCGCCGUUCGGCGCAUCUGUUACGUCACUUUGUCGGGAACAGGCUGCCGGGUUGCAUAGAUUAUGAUAAUCGCCGGAAUCCCUGGACGCUGAUAGCGAACUCGGGCGAUUCGAGCUGCUGAUCGAAUUCCAGAUCCGCGUGCAAUAUAAGCCCCGCGUUCAAGAGUACCUCGGCUGUUCAGUGUGAAUUGUUCCAUCGACGCUGCAGCAUUCGAAACUAUUCGACAGCUUCAAAGGAGGAAAUUCGUCUCGAGUCUCGACGAUCGGGGAUUCCCCGGAAGUACCGGCUAAUUGAAUCUACGGAGGAAGUUAGGAACUCGAUAGUCAAAAAGUUUGAGUCAACUUCGAAGUCGUUCCGAAGAAACCAGCGAGUUAGAGGGUA
This is a non-coding RNA of Nomia melanderi (Alkali bee), 1634 nucleotides long. Lineage: Eukaryota; Metazoa; Arthropoda; Insecta; Hymenoptera; Halictidae. The record is from RefSeq and is a predicted model, not a curated record.